Non-coding RNA from Macaca mulatta (Rhesus monkey), 561 nucleotides. Lineage: Eukaryota; Metazoa; Chordata; Mammalia; Primates; Cercopithecidae. The record is from RefSeq and is a predicted model, not a curated record.
UGUGCCCCUUUAAGUGAAGCACCUACUUGUCUUAGAGAAGUGUGUCUGUCUUUUGGGCAGCACCAAAAUCCUUUUGCUUAUACUCUGGAGCAUUCGGCACACUGUUUCAUCAGAUAGCCCACCCUUUAAAGUGGGAAAGUCUUAUCUUCCGAGAUAGGACAAUAUAACCUAAUAAAGCUCUCAAUGGAGCAAGCUGAGGAAUGCAGUGCACUCAAGUGACUUACUUGUACGAUAAUAACCUCGAUUUGAACCGGGAUUAUGAAGUGUAAAGUAACAUCAGCAAACAUAGCGGAGGCCUGGGAAGACUUCUGCUCCUCUGCCAGUGGCAGGAAGGGGAGGAAGAGAAGAGAAAUACGACAUAGAAAGAAGGGUGUUGUUCUGUUUCUGUUUGCUCAUUAGCAAGAUGAAGCAUCCAGGAAGAGAAUUUGUUUCUUAGAGAUAAACUGAGUGUAUGCAAACUGCCCAGCACUGAAACUGUUGUAUUCUACGAUGAUCUCUGAACGUUGGUUUUCCCUUGUCCUCCUUAACAGAACAAUUAAAUAUUAAUAUAUUCAAUACUAA